UGGCUUCCGAGAGCUCCGCCCGCUCUUCCCACGCUCCGCGCCCGCGCCGCGCCGCGCCGCACCGCGCCACCAUGCGGCCAAGCCUGGCGCUGCGCCUGCUGGGAACGCGGUCGCCUCCGCCCCUCCAUGCGAAAUGCGGCAGAGGAUCUGAUCUGAGCAGCCGGCCAACCACAUUCUCGCCGGCAACAGGCCCGCCCUAACCUGAGGGCGGCUCCAGAACUGUCCUUUUCUUCACUGGCCCUGGCGCCGCUGAUCUUCCAAAGCUUCUCUCUCAUGACACCUCUUGGAAGUUUUCCGACUUAGACCCGUAGAGAAUUGGAGAACUAUGGACCCUCUCUCUAGAAAAAUGCUCACCCACACAGAAGCAGAGUUUUGCAUGGUAUUGCAGGGCGUUUUGAAACUUCUCAAGUGUCAAGACCGCCAACUUCAGACCUCUACAGGUGCCUGCGGGAGUUUAUAAAUAUUCAAAGUGAAGGAACUGAGGGGAAUAAGAAGCCCAGCAAGAUACCCAGAGGAAACUGUACCCUCCUUCUCAUUGGUUGCUCCAACAGCAAUAUAUAUUCUCCCAGGUAUAACUCCAUGGCUGGAAAACAGACUCCUAAAGGAUGUCUGUUUUGCAAGAGGCAAAGGACAGAGGAGAUCUUAGAUGCUUGAAAAGCACAGGAGGAUUCUGAGAAGUGUGGACAGACAGAGUUAUGAUGCUGCCAGAGGAGUAACACCAUGCCAGGCAUUACUGGCCAAUGAAGACCCACCUGACAGCAAUCCCUGGAUGCUCUGGAAAAGAAAUUGGGCCAUACCUCCUAGACUGCACUGGAUCCAACUUACUCCAUUUCAACUGACACUCCAACUAGAGCUUCGAGUCCUGACUUCAAUCAAGUUGAGGAUUUCAACCUAGAUCUUCAGUCAAACAAAUCCCGUCUAACAUGGACUGGAUAUAAUCCGUUGGAGACUUUCACUAUACUAACAUUUUCUUCCCAUAGGACCCCACAAGGCUACCAUCGUCCCAUUUCAGCAGGAAGUAAAUUGUAGGAUGCUACACCCCUGUUCCCCAUUAUUGUCUAUUAGGGUAGUGUAAGCCUAGUUAGGAAUAACUUUCCUAUUGUUUAGGGUUGGAAUUGGAAGGAGGUGUUCAAGUUCAGAUGACUUUAGGGUUUAGCUGAAAUAGACAUAGUUAGGAUGUGCAAUAACAGAUUAUUGUAUCUUCUUGUAUUUCACCUUUAUGAUUGUUAAUUUUGGAUAUUUUACACUAUUAAGUUUUAAUCCCCUUUUAGACUAAAAGGGGAAUUAUAGGGCGACACCGUAGCCACACUUCCUAAGGGCUGGCUACAGGUGUGCCUGACCACGCCUAUCAAGGCAUGGUCAAGGUGAGGUCAGGGUGACGUGGGAGGGCUUCUUAAGCAACCACAAGCCCACGGAACCAGCUCGUCCCCUUCGGCUGCCCCUUCUCUCUGGCCUCCCUGCCUUGCUGCCCCUGGGUACACUCUGGCUUGCAUUUAACUGGUAUUUAUCUGAAUAAAGGUAUCUUGAAUCUACAAGCAUUCUCCUUCAAUGUUUGUGUGUGACUGUAUGAAU
RNAcentral lists this long non-coding RNA (1572 nucleotides) under Cricetulus griseus (Chinese hamster). Its description in RNAcentral is "lncRNA (ENSCGRG00015032479.1)". Lineage: Eukaryota; Metazoa; Chordata; Mammalia; Rodentia; Cricetidae. The record is from RNAcentral.